CCUACGGGAGGCAGCAGUGGGGAAUAUUGCGCAAUGGGCGAAAGCCUGACGCAGCGACGCCGCGUGAGGGAUGAAGGUCUUCGGAUCGUAAACCUCUGUCAGCAGGGAAGAACGGUCACUGUGCUAAUCAGCCGUGAAUUGACGGUACCUGCAAAGGAAGCACCGGCUAACUCCGUGCCAGCAGCCGCGGUAAUACGGAGGGUGCGAGCGUUGAUCGGAAUUACUGGGCGUAAAGCGAUAGUAGGCGGUAUGUCAAGUCAAGGGUGAAAUCCCCGGGCUCAACGGGGGAAUUGCCUUUGAAACUGGCAAACUGGAGGGUGGGAGAGGAGAGUGGAAUUCCAGGUGUAGGAGUGAAAUCCGUAGAUAUCUGGAGGAACAUCAGUGGCGAAGGCGACUAUCUGGCACAUAACUGACGCUGAGGAGCGAAAGCGUGGGUAGCAAACAGGAUUAGAUACCCCUGUAGUC
RNAcentral lists this ribosomal RNA (465 nucleotides) under uncultured bacterium. RNAcentral describes it as "partial 16S ribosomal RNA". It matches the Rfam family "Bacterial small subunit ribosomal RNA", at positions 338 to 795 of the family's 1533-position model. The record is from RNAcentral.